GGGAAUGAUGAUUUCACAGACUAGAGUCUCUGACACAUGGUCAUGAUGUCAAAACUAAGUUCUGACUC
This 68-nucleotide small nucleolar RNA is filed under the name Microcebus murinus (gray mouse lemur). Its description in RNAcentral is "Small nucleolar RNA SNORD52". It matches the Rfam family "Small nucleolar RNA SNORD52". Rfam says of the family: U52 belongs to the C/D class of snoRNA which contain the C (UGAUGA) and D (CUGA) box motifs. Most of the members of the box C/D family function in directing site-specific 2'-O-methylation of substrate RNAs. The record is from Rfam by way of RNAcentral. Lineage: Eukaryota; Metazoa; Chordata; Mammalia; Primates; Cheirogaleidae.